This 499-nucleotide unclassified non-coding RNA is filed under the name uncultured Glomus. Its description in RNAcentral is "SSU rRNA". It matches the Rfam family "Eukaryotic small subunit ribosomal RNA", at positions 591 to 1092 of the family's 1831-position model. The record is from RNAcentral. Lineage: Eukaryota; Fungi; Glomeromycota; Glomeromycetes; Glomerales; Glomeraceae.
CCAAUAGCGUAUAUUAAAGUUGUUGCAGUUAAAAAGCUCGUAGUUGAAUUUCGGGAUCAAAGAAUCGGUCAUGCCUUGGUAUGUACUGGUUUUAUUGGUUCUCACCUUCUAAAGAACCAUGAUGUCAUUCAUUUGAUGUUAUGGGGAAUUAGGACUGUUACCUUGAAAAAAUUAGAGUGUUUAAAGCAAGCUUACGCUUGAAUACAUUAGCAUGGAAUAAUGAAAUAGGACAUCAGAUUCUAUUUUGUUGGUUUCUAGGAUCGAUGUAAUGAUUAAUAGGGAUAGUUGGGGGCAUUAGUAUUCAAUUGGCAGAGGUGAAAUUCUUGGAUUUAUUGAAGACUAACUACUGCGAAAGCAUUUGCCAAGGAUGUUUUCAUUAAUCAAGAACGAAAGUUAGGGGAUCGAAGACGAUCAGAUACCGUCGUAGUCUUAACCAUAAACUAUGCCGACUAGGGAUCGGAUGAUGUUAAUUUUUUAAUGACUCAUUCGGCACCUUACG